Molecule: long non-coding RNA, 320 nt
Filed under: Equus caballus (horse)
Lineage: Eukaryota; Metazoa; Chordata; Mammalia; Perissodactyla; Equidae
Description: lncRNA (ENSECAG00000060039.1)
Source: RNAcentral
AACUGAAAAUAAAGGAAUACUACAGGAAGUGGGGGCAGUGGAUUAAAAUGUCACAACUGGAAAGCAGGAUGCUGAAUCUUGAGUUACGUGUUGAGAGAAGAGAAAGAGAAGGAGGAACUGAGGAGGAGCCAGCCAAGGCGGGGGUCUGCUGAGCUGGCGGAAUGUGGCAGGGCUGGGACGCUACAGAAGUAAAAGUGAUACUAAGUGACAAGAACAAGCAGUUGGAAAAAGUCUGUCUUAAAAGGAGGUUUGCAACAUACAAGCUUACAAUUACUAACUGCCCAGUGUUCACCAGUUCAGAUCCUGGGUGUGGACCUACA